RNAcentral lists this ribosomal RNA (254 nucleotides) under uncultured bacterium. Its description in RNAcentral is "partial 16S ribosomal RNA". It matches the Rfam family "Bacterial small subunit ribosomal RNA", at positions 524 to 776 of the family's 1533-position model. The record is from RNAcentral.
UACGUAGGGUCCGAGCGUUGUCCGGAAUUACUGGGCGUAAAGAGCUCGUAGGUGGUUUGUCGCGUUGUUCGUGAAAACUCACAGCUUAACUGUGGGCGUGCGGGCGAUACGGGCAGACUUGAGUACUGCAGGGGGAGACUGGAAUUCCUGGUGUAGCGGUGGAAUGCGCAGAUAUCAGGAGGAACACCGGUGGCGAAGGCGGUUCUCUGGGCAUUACCUGACGCUGAGGAGCGAAAGUGUGGGGAGCGAACAGG